This 469-nucleotide ribosomal RNA is filed under the name uncultured bacterium. RNAcentral describes it as "SSU rRNA". It matches the Rfam family "Bacterial small subunit ribosomal RNA", at positions 26 to 518 of the family's 1533-position model. The record is from RNAcentral.
AGGAUAAACGCUGGCGGCGUGCCUAACACAUGCAAGUCGAACGCGCUUUCUUCGUUAAGAGGGGAGCGAGUGGCGGACGGGUGAGUAACACAUGGGUACCUGCCUUUCAGUGAGGGAUACCGGCGAGAAAUCGCCGACAAUACCGCAUGGGCUUGUGGGAACACAAGCAAAGUGGCGCAAGCCACGCUGGAAGAUGGGCCUGUGGCCGAUUAGCUAGUUGGGGGGGUAAUGGCCUCCCAAGGCGACGAUCGGUAGCUGGUCUGAGAGGACGAUCAGCCACACUGGGAUUGAGAACGGCCCAGACUCCUACGGGGGGCAGCAGUGAGGAAUUUUCCGCAAUGGACGAAAGUCUGACGGAGCAACGCCGCGUGCAGGAGAAGGUUUUCGGAUCGUAAACUGCUUUUCUCGGGGACGAGCAAGGGACGGUACCCGAGGAAGAAGCCCCGGCUAACUACGUGUCAGCAGCCGC